RNAcentral lists this ribosomal RNA (281 nucleotides) under uncultured Syntrophaceae bacterium. Its description in RNAcentral is "partial 16S ribosomal RNA". It matches the Rfam family "Bacterial small subunit ribosomal RNA", at positions 1098 to 1382 of the family's 1533-position model. Lineage: Bacteria; Pseudomonadati; Thermodesulfobacteriota; Syntrophia; Syntrophales; Syntrophaceae. The record is from RNAcentral.
GCAACCCUUGUCUUUAAUUGCCAUCAUUUAGUUGGGCACCUUAAAGAGACUGCCGGUGUUAAGCCGGAGGAAGUGGGAUGACGUCAAGUCCUCAUGGCCUUUAUGCCCAGGGCUACACACGUGCUACAAUGGGCGAUACAAAGAGAAGCAACCUCGCGAGGGUGAGCAAAUCUCAAAAAGCCGUUCUCAGUUCGGAUUGAAGUCUGCAACUCGACUUCAUGAAGUCGGAAUCGCUAGUAAUCGCGGAUCAGCAUGCCGCGGUGAAUACGUUCCCGGGCCUU